UAAAAUCUUAGUGGCGGACGGGUGAGAACGCGUGGGUAACCUGCCUUACACUGGGGGAUAACACUUAGAAAUAGGUGCUAAUACCGCAUAAGCGCACGAAGCCGCAUGGAUUUGUGUGAAAAACUCCGGUGGUGUAAGAUGGACCCGCGUCUGAUUAGCUUGUUGGCGGGGUAACGGCCCACCAAGGCGACGAUCAGUAGCCGGCCUGAGAGGGUGGACGGCCACAUUGGGACUGAGACACGGCCCAAACUCCUACGGAAGGCAGCAG
RNAcentral lists this ribosomal RNA (268 nucleotides) under uncultured bacterium. RNAcentral describes it as "partial 16S ribosomal RNA". It matches the Rfam family "Bacterial small subunit ribosomal RNA", at positions 85 to 354 of the family's 1533-position model. The record is from RNAcentral.